GAUGAAGAACGCAGCGAAAUGCGAUAAGUAAUGUGAAUUGCAGAAUUCAGUGAAUCAUCGAAUCUUUGAACGCACAUUGCGCCCGUCAGUAUUCUGGCGGGCAUGCCUGUUCGAGCGUCAUUACGCCCCUCAAGUCCCCUGUGGACUUGGUGUUGGGGAUCGGCGAGGCUGGUUUUCCAGCACAGCCGUCCCUUAAAUUAAUUGGCGGUCUCGCCGUGGCCCUCCUCUGCGCAGUAGUAAAACACUCGCAACAGGAGCCCGGCGCGGUCCACUGCCGUAAAACCCCCCAACUUUUUAUAGUUGACCUCGAAUCAGGUAGGACUACCCGCUGAACUUAAGCAUAUCAAAGCGGAGGA
RNAcentral lists this unclassified non-coding RNA (356 nucleotides) under soil metagenome. RNAcentral describes it as "partial contains 5.8S ribosomal RNA, internal transcribed spacer 2, and large subunit ribosomal RNA". The stretch from base 1 to 120 matches the Rfam family "5.8S ribosomal RNA", at positions 35 to 154 of the family's 154-position model. The record is from RNAcentral.